This 443-nucleotide unclassified non-coding RNA is filed under the name Hevea brasiliensis (rubber tree). The record is from RNAcentral. Lineage: Eukaryota; Viridiplantae; Streptophyta; Magnoliopsida; Malpighiales; Euphorbiaceae.
GGCGAAUUGUGUAACUUAUGGCCAUCUUAUACUUGGUUUUUGCAAGGAAGGUAAAUUGGAAGAGGCGAAGAGUAUGUUCCAGAAGAUGGUUCAUAGUGGUUUGAAACCGGAUGCUGAAUGCUAUUUUACGUUAGUGUAUUAUUUGUGUCAAGGUGGGGAUUUUGAAGCUGCAUUGGAGAUGUAUAAAAAAUGUUUGGCUGAUGGAUGGGUUCCGAAUUUCUCCUCCAUGAAGUCUCUUGUUGAGGGAUUGGCUAGCAUUUCAAAGGUUGAUGAAGCACGGGAAGUCAUAGCUCAAGUGAAGGAGAAGAUAUCAAGAAACGUCGAGAAGUGGAAUGACAUUGAAGAGGCAUUGCCCAAGUAGGAAGAGAAAAUAAACAUGGUAUACUAGAGUUUUCUGGUUGCAGCAAUGCCCAUGAUCGUAAUAAAGUGAAAAAUUCAACUUG